GGCCACUUCGGUGGUACUCGAGCGGCGAACGGGUGAGUAACACGUGAGUAAUCUGCCCUUGGCUUCGGGAUAGCCACCGGAAACGGUGAUUAAUACCGGAUAUGACCGUCUGCCGCAUGGUGGGUGGUGGAAAGUUUUUUCGGCCAGGGAUGUGCUCGCGGCCUAUCAGCUUGAUGGUGAGGUAAUGGCUCACCAUGGCUUCGACGGGUAGCCGGCCUGAGAGGGUGACCGGUCACACUGGGACUGAGACACGGCCCAGACUCCUACGGGAGGCAGCAGUGGGGAAUAUUGGACAAUGGGCGGAAGCCUGAUCCAGCAACGCCGCGUGAGGGAUGACGGCCUUCGGGUUGUAAACCUCUUUCAGCAGGGACGAAGCGCAAGUGACGGUACCUGCAGAAGAAGCACCGGCCAACUACGUGCCAGCAGCCGCGGUAAUACGUAGGGUGCGAGCGUUGUCCGGAAUUAUUGGGCGUAAAGGGCUCGUAGGCGGUUUGUCGCGUCGGGAGUGAAAACCAGGUGCUUAACACCUGGCUUGCUUUCGAUACGGGCAGACUAGAGGUAUUCAGGGGAGAACGGAAUUCCUGGUGUAGCGGUGAAAUGCGCAGAUAUCAGGAGGAACACCGGUGGCGAAGGCGGUUCUCUGGGAAUGACCUGACGCUGAGGAGCGAAAGUGUGGGGAGCGAACAGGAUUAGAUACCCUGGUAGUCCACACCGUA
Molecule: ribosomal RNA, 716 nt
Filed under: Nocardioides sp.
Lineage: Bacteria; Bacillati; Actinomycetota; Actinomycetes; Propionibacteriales; Nocardioidaceae
Description: bacterial SSU rRNA
Rfam family: Bacterial small subunit ribosomal RNA
Source: RNAcentral